UACGUAGGGGGCAAGCGUUGUCCGGAUUUAUUGGGCGUAAAGAGCGUGUAGGCGGUUUGGUAGGUCCGUUGUGAAAACUCGAGGCUCAACCUCGAGACGCCGAUGGAAACCAUCAGACUAGAGUCCGGAAGAGGAGAGUGGAAUUCCUGGUGUAGCGGUGAAAUGCGCAGAUAUCAGGAAGAACACCCGUGGCUAAGGCGGCUCUCUGGGCCGGUACCGACGCUGAGGAGCGAAAGCGUGGGGAGCGAACAGG
This 253-nucleotide ribosomal RNA is filed under the name uncultured bacterium. RNAcentral describes it as "partial 16S ribosomal RNA". It matches the Rfam family "Bacterial small subunit ribosomal RNA", at positions 524 to 776 of the family's 1533-position model. The record is from RNAcentral.